This 792-nucleotide long non-coding RNA is filed under the name Medicago truncatula (barrel medic). RNAcentral's name for it is "long non-coding RNA (MTRU_LNC003411)". The record is from RNAcentral. Lineage: Eukaryota; Viridiplantae; Streptophyta; Magnoliopsida; Fabales; Fabaceae.
AAACAUUGGACAAAUAUCGUGGAUGAGGCUGGCAGUGAGAUCACAUAACAUAACCAUUUUGGGAUGAGGUAAGUCAGGUUGAGCUAUUUACAGUUAAGAAUGUCUGGUGACAUGGUGGGAGGAACUAAAUGCACAUUGACUGUGUAUCUUUCAGUUGGAUGUGGCUUGUCACCGUUAAAAUAUGAUAUUUCCAAACAUAAUACAAUAUAUUACUCCAAAACUGAAAUCAAACAAUCACUUCACUAACUUUUUUAUUACUUUAGAAUCUUUAUGUAGCUCUUUGGAGGAUGCUGUGGCCUGUGUGAAUGGGUUAACGAUACCAUGAUCUUGCUUAAUUAUUUGGUCACAUGCUUGGGCUAUGGGCAUUGGGCACUAUGUUUGAUGCUCCUUUGUUUUUCUUUUAGUAGAAAGAUGGGGAUUAAUAAUGUAUAAAUAAAAGAAGUGAUUGGCAAAACUGCAUCUGGUGAAACUUAUGUUCUUGAAGAGGUAAAGAGAACAAUGUGGUCUCAUUAGUCUAUAAUAAGCUCUGAAUGGAUGUUACAUACAAAAUCGACCAUUGAUGAAGUUGAAUAUGCAUUCAGCUCAUAGUCACUCCAAAGGUCAUCGUGUUCUUGAUUGUUGUCUAGAAUCUUAUUUCUAGCACAAUGCAAAAGGUUUAUCCUAACAAACAAUUGUUAAUAUCUUGUUCAACCUAACACUUGUCAUUUAUACUCUUUUGCAAGAUAAAAAAAAAUUGGAGUUUGAAGAUAGAUACUAUAGGAAUGAAGAGAGAAAUUACUUCAUGUCAUGAAC